RNAcentral lists this ribosomal RNA (198 nucleotides) under uncultured bacterium. RNAcentral's name for it is "partial 16S ribosomal RNA". It matches the Rfam family "Bacterial small subunit ribosomal RNA", at positions 328 to 539 of the family's 1533-position model. The record is from RNAcentral.
ACGCUCGACACCUACGGGAGGCAGCAGUGGGGAAUAUUGCACAAUGGGGGGAACCCUGAUGCAGCGACGCCGCGUGAGGGAAGAAGGUUUUCGGAUUGUAAACCUCUGUCCUUGGUGACGAUAAUGACGGUAGCCAAGGAGGAAGCCACGGCUAACUACGUGCCAACAGCCGCGGUAAUCUGAGCGGGCUGGCAAGGC